RNAcentral lists this long non-coding RNA (18297 nucleotides) under Lactuca sativa (garden lettuce). RNAcentral's name for it is "long non-coding RNA (LSAT_LNC001104)". Lineage: Eukaryota; Viridiplantae; Streptophyta; Magnoliopsida; Asterales; Asteraceae. The record is from RNAcentral.
UUACUUGUUCAAGUAUCGUUGUAUAUGUUCUCUUCCUAGCAUAGUUGUAUAUGUUCUUCUCUAGUAUAGCUGUAUAUGUUAUCAUAGUAUUAUAAUGUAUAUGUUCUCAUAGUAAUGUAAUGUAUAUGUUUCUCAUAGGACUAAGUACUGACUCAUGAAUGAACUGACUCAUUGAUCUAGUAAUAGUAUAAGUGUAAUCCUGUGUUACCCCGAUGGUAACUUACUAAUGAUGUAACUGAUACGCAUGAAUAUGGAAGUACUUUUAUGUCUAUAUAUGCACAUAUGAUAUAUAAUUAAUAUUGAAACGACCCUCGGACGGCUACCCGACAUCCCACCAGACCACAUCCAAAUCGAGGAAAAGGAAAUAGGGCGGACGGCCUUCCUAAGCCUUUUAAACAUUUCUUAUAUAUCUGUACAUAUAUGGACAUGCAAAUUAUAAGAAGUAUAUUAAAGUUUAAAUAAAAGUAUUUGAUAAGUAAAAGAGUUUGUAAAACAUUUUGAAGUAAAACAGUUUGAUAAACAGUUUGGACAGUGAUAAAAUCAUUGGUUUUAUAGUUAUUAAUCACAUGUGAUUGAUGUAAUAACUAUAAGUAUUCAACUUGUAUUCCCCCCAUAAAAGCAUUUAAAACAUUUAAAAGUAUUUCAAAGGUUAAUUAAAGGGGUAUGAACUCACCUGUAGUGAGUGGUUCUGAUGACAAUGUUGGAUUAGUUGCUAGGUGUCAAGUGGUGACUUGAGUACACACGCGAAUCCUAUUUAGCAUAUAUUGGCACAUAUAUGGAUAUAAUUAGUGUUAUGAACAACUAAUUGAUGAUUUUGGGACCACCUUAGGGACUAGUAAACACUUAUAAUGAAGUGUUAUAAUCAUAUAUGAUUGUAUGAGGGUUUAUAAGGCUAUACAAGAGGGUGUAUGGCCAAAAUACACACUAUAUGUGUGUGUGCGGCCAGGUGUNAGUUCUAUGCUUGAAGAAGUGAAAGAAGUGUUCAAAAAUGUUUAAGUGUGGUAUAUAUAGGUUGAGUGUGCGGUUGGGAAGGGUGUGAGGCCGCAAACAUGAGUGUGUGGCCGGACACUCCAUGUGUUGGAGUGUUUGGCCCGGUUUUGAUUCCUACACUUCGAGUUAACCCUUUUUAACACUCCCACCUUGAUUAUAUCACAUUUAGAAUGAUUCAUUAGGCUCUAAAGGGUACUACCAUAUAGUAAAAUAAGUCUAAUAUUGGAAGAAUUGAAGAGUGCAUGCGAGAAGUUUUUCGGGUUGUCACAUCAUCCCCCCGUUAGAGGGAAUUUCGUCCCGAUAUUUGAGUUUAAGUUACUGGAUUAUUACAAAUAACUAAGUAAAAAGAUGAGGAUAUUUCAGUUUCAUCUGAUCCUCUCGCUCCCAUGUAAAUUCCGGUCCUCGCUUGGCGUUCCAGCGAACAUUUACAAUCGGGAUGCGACUUUGUUUCGUCUGUUUGACUUCACGGUCCAUGACCUCUACAGGUUCUUCCACGAAGUUGAGGCUCUCGUUGAUCUCGAUCUCGUCGAGUGGGAUUACAAGAGUCACGUCGGACAGACACUUUUUCAAGUUAGAAAUGUGGAAGGUAGAAUGUAAGUUACGAAGUUCGUUCGGUAGAUUGAGUUUGUAAGCCACUGGGCCAAUUCUGGCGAGAAUCUCGAAAGGCCCAAUGUACCUUGGAUUCAGCUUUCCACGCUUUCCGAAGCGUAUCAAGCCCUUCCAGGGUGAGACCUUCAAUAAAACACGGUCGCCCACCUGGAAUUCCAAUGGUUUUCUACGUUUAUCGGCAUAGCUUUUCUGUCGGUCUCUGGAGGCUUUCAAUCGUUCACAGAUCUGAACGAUCUUCUCCGUCGUUUCCCGAAUGAUUUCCGGGCCUGUCUAUAGGUCUCGUGUGCUUGCUAUAUAAAGUACAUAUACGAGUCACGAGUAAUAGGAAGUGGUAACGGUCGAUGGAUGUUCAUAUUUGAGUAUUUGCUGAUGGAAUGCCUCACAUCAAGGUGACAGGAUUCGAACCUAUGGCCCUCUGUACCCAAAACAGAUGCGCUGACCAGACUGCGCUACACCUCGUCUCACCACCCCGGAGCAUAUAGAUCCACCCGAUCGAUGAACACUCAAACCGAACUCACCCAUCCUUUUGGGCACAGGGACGCGAGAACCUAAGAAACAGCUUUUUUUUCGAAAUCUGCCUCCAGCAAGAUAGGGCGACGCAAAAAAGCCGUAUAGUGCAGGAGCGCUCACAUUUUUUGGCUGACUCUUGCACUUGAAUUUCAAAAUCCGGCUCGCUCCCGGCCUUUGGACCCUUGGCCCGCUUAGAAGUGGAUUCGAACCACUGACACAAGGAUUUUCAGUCCUUUGCUCUAACCAGCUGAGCUACCUGAACCACUUUCCUAAAAUAUGUUUUAUUCAUCGAAUAGCGCCCUACCUUACCACUUGACUAGUAAAAAGCCCUUGUACUAAAAAAAAGAGAAUAGAUAGGCCUUUUUCGCUUCUUCGCCAAGCUUUCGAGCAGCUCUUUCAACUGCCGCCUAAUCCCCCAACAUGCUCAAGAACCGAGAGCCGUCCAGUCCCUGGACAGCCGGAGGGAGCUUGCUUAUAGAAAGAAGAUAGGCCGAUCAAACAAAAAGAACGCGCAAAGGUCUCUCCGCUCCUAGUCACUAAGUAGUGCUAUUCUGGGGGGCUGGACUCCACCAAGAGGUUCUUUCUCUCACGUCAUUUCGCCCGCCCGUUUCACUUCUGUUCCGGAGGAAAUGGGAUUUGAACCCAUGAUACAAUCUUCUUGUAUGUCGAUUUAGCNCUGUGAGUGUACUGUCAGAAACUUGCCCCUUAGCUAACUGGGUGUCACCCACUUCAGCCCAGCACAGAGGGGAUCUGCACUUCCGGCCAUAGAGGGCUUCAAAUGGGGCAGUCUUGAUGCUCGUGUGAUAACUGUUAUUGUAGGAAAAUUCGACAAGAGGUAAGUGAGUGUCCCAUGCCUUUCCAAAGUCAAUUACACAGGCUCUCAGCAUAUCUUCCAGUGUUUGAAUGGUCCUCUCACUUUGCCCGUCGGUCUGAGGGUGGUAGGCUGUGCUCAUGUCUAGCCUUGUUCCUAGGGAAUGUUGCAACGAUUGCCAGAAUCUUGAGGUGAACCUACUAUCUCUAUCGGAGAUAAUGGAUAUAGGGACACCAUGCAGUCGCACGAUUUCCCUAAUGUAUGUUCUCGUAAGUUUCUCCAUCUUAUCAGUUUCCUUGAUAGGUAGGAAGUGUGCAGACUUGGUCAAUCUAUCGACAAUGACCCAUAUGGUAUCAAGUCCACCCGUUGUCUUGGGCAACUUGGUUAUGAAGUCCAUAGUGAUCCGCUCCCACUUCCAUUCUGGGAUCUCUGGUUGUUGUAGUAAACCAGAGGGCUUCUGGUACUCGACCUUAACCUUUGCGCAAGUAAGGCAUUUACUUAUGAAGGUAACAAUCUCUGCUUUCAUGUUAGGCCACCAGUAUAACUUCUUAAGAUCCAGAUACAUCUUAUCUGAGCCUGGGUGGACAAAAUAUCGAGUGUUGUGCGCCUCAGUCAUGACCAAGUCUCGGAAACCACCGUGUUUCGGGGUCCAGAUCCGGUCCAUGAAGUAUAGGACUCCGCCACCCUUAGCUUCUAAGUUCUUAUCCAUUUCUCUGAGGGAUUCACUCGCCACAUGUUCAGGUUUCAUAGCUUCAAGCUGGGCCGCUUGAAUUUGCUUAGACAAGUGUGAAUGGAUAGUCAUUGUCAACGACUUGACUCUUCGACCAGAAUAUUCCGUCCGACUUAGGGCGUCCGCUACUACGUUGGCCUUACCCGGAUGAUAACGAAUGUCGCAUUCGUAGUCAUUGAGUAGCUCAACUCAUCGUCGUUGGCGCAUGUUGAGCUCCUUCUGAUCGAAUAUGUGCUGUAAACUCUUGUGGUCAGUAAAAAUGGUGCUUUUGGUGCCAUACAAGUAAUGUCUCCAGAUCUUCAGGGCAAACACAAUUUCCCCAGUUCAAGAUCGUGCGUGGCGUAGUUGACUUCGUGUGUCUUCAGCUGUCUCGAGGUGUAGGCGAUAACUUUACCUCGUUGCAUCAGGACACAACCGAGCCCUUGAUUUGACGCAUCACAGUAGACAACGAAAUCUUCUAUCCCUUCGGGAAGGGAUAGUAUUAGUGCGGUGCACAAGGCUCGCUUGAGCGUUUGGAAUGCUUUCUCCUGUUUCUCUUCCCAGUCAAAGGCCAUGCCCUUCUGGGUCAGUGUUGUAAGGGGUUUCACAAUGCGGGAGAAGUUCUGUAUGAAUCUACGGUAGUAGCCAGCUAGACCUAGAAAUUGACGAAUUUUUGUAGGCGUCUUCGGUGCUGACCAGUUCUCAAUGGCCUUAAUUUGGGAUGGGUCCACAUGUAUUCCCUCUUCGCUUACCACAUCUCCUAAGAAUUCGACUCUUCGGAUCCAAAAUUCACAUUUCAAGAACUUCGCAUAGAGCUUCUCCAUUCGUAAAGUUCCUAGAACUUGUCGCGGGUGAUCGCCAUGCUCUUCCUUACUACGAGAGUAGAUUAGUGAUUGUUUUUAGUCAUAAGACAUCCUAUGUGCUCAUACAAACCCUAAUGCUCGAAUCUAGGUUUCUCUAUUGUACAUGCUUUGAAUCCAAGACUAUAAACCCUAAUUCUAGCAUACAAGUAAUCAUAUUAGAUAUUAGAAUAGGUUUAUAAUGUUACCUUGAUUGUUAUGUAGCAAUAACAAUCCCAAUUCCUCCUUGAAUUGACUUUGGAAGGCUUAGAGUCACAAGUGUCACUCCUCUAAUGGUUCACAAACACCAUAAGCAAGAGGAUGAAGAGGAGAGAGGAUGGAGGCUGCCAAAACCAUGUGAAAACCCUAGAAGGUAACUUGUCCACGUUUUUGAGCCUUAAGGAUUCUAUAUAUAGUGAGGCAAUUAGGGUUAUCUAACAAGGAAACCCUAAUUUGGUUGCUUAAGCCCUAAGCAACCCAUGGAGCCCUUUCUUAAAGCCUUGGACGACUUCAUAUGGGCUUCCCCCAUAGAAUUCGUCCACCUUAUAAUAAAAGGCAAUCCAUGGCCCAAAUUGCAAUUAUCUUAUAAUUACAAUUCCAGUCCCUUAAGUUUAAUUAAUCUCUUUUAGUCACAAAACUAAUUACCAAUUAAUUAUUGACUAAUAUUAAUUAAACAAUAUGAUUUCUCCUUUAAUAUAUUAUUCCCAUAAUAUAUUAAUAAAUCAUAUUUAAUCCUUUCUCUCCAUAAUUCAUCCUAUCAAGUUGCUUUGGUGAAGGCAACCCAAAAGGACCAUGCACCAUCGGGUCAAGUACAUACCAAAAUAGUUAUGGACUUAGACACUAAUCCAACAGUCUCCCACUUGGAUAAGUCUAACAACUAUUCUGCGUAUGACUUCGGAUCCCGAUCUGCAAUCGUAGCUUUCCAAAGCCGCUGUCAACUCUGAUCAUAUCAGAUACGCGUGUCCUUAGAUAAGGGAUCAUAUAUUCCUCCAUUCUAGAUAUCAUAUGAGAUAUGAUUUCAAAUCAUUCUCUUUGUACUAUAUCUCGAUUUCCGAUUUAUGACGACUGACUAAUUGAACAAAUCAAAUUAGCCCUAGCCCGGCCGAGCAUUUACGUUUGUCAUCACUAAACCAUCGAGGGGCCCAAAGAUAUCGCUUUUAUCCUACUUUGGAUAAAAGGAACGGAUAAACUUUGAUACAAUGCUUGCUUGCACUCACUCACCGAAUCACACACAACAAUAUGUUUUAUAACACCAAGUUACUAGUGCGUUUACAUAUUAUCAAUGUGCAACCGAUUUGCAAGAUACAACUCACACAUCUCGGUUUCAAGAAUAUAAGAUGUUAUCGUCUCACCAAUCACUCGUGAUACAAUUCAUGGAGUGAUCCAAGUGAGCGUGGGUUUAAUCCAAUGCUCAAAUCACAUUCAUAAGCACUCAUGAACGUUGCAGCAAACAUUUGCUUAUGUCUAAUACCUUUUUAGACAAUCCACACACCAAUUCACGACAGUCUUCAUUCAUAUCUACUUCCAACAUAUGAACGACUGUGGCCCGUUUGAAUAAUUCGAUUAUUCUUAAUAAACUCAAUUAUUCUGGAAGUCAAAACAUGCAAAUGUGAAACACAAGAAUAAUACUAAUCCCAUAUGGCCUCAAACCUUUGAGUAUAAAUAAAACACCUUUUAUUUAUCACCAUAUUGAUUACUCAUUAUUUGUCGUUUCGGGUAAUCAACUUCUUACUUGAAUUCCAACACUUGUCCCAUGCUCCUAGCAUGCACACAAUGUUUACCUAUGGUUCUUACUUUGUGAAAUAGAUCACAUUGAACACAUUUCCAAUCCUUCUCAUUUCACAACUCCAAAUCCGUUUUUCAUAAGUGAAAGAAUAUCAAAUUCUUGCUACUUAUAGAAUAUGCUAGAUUCUAACAUUCUAUGCAACUAUCCUUUCGUAAUGUCACUGCACCAAAGUCACAAAGACUAUUGCCAAUGAUAUUACAAAGUCCUCUAUCGGAGAUUGUUACAAGACAAUUCCAUAGACGUGAUGUCUCUCACUCAAAGUACAUUCUUUGAACAUCCUUUUGCAUAGAAGUUUCUAAUCUAGUCAUAGAUUUCUCAAUAUUCAAUUCCCAAUAUGGACACACUUCCAUAUGUUCCAUAUGACAACUCAUUCUUAAUAGAAUCUUAUCUAUUCGUAAUGAUGUCGAUAUGGUCCAUCCAAUAUGGAAACAUUUCCAUAUUUUCCAAUACUAUACUUCCAACUACUCACAAGCGACCAAUCCUCGUCGAACUUUGGAUUGUCCUUUGAUAGUUGUUUAAUUAUUUUAGUCAAAACCAAUUCUAGUCCCUUUUCCCUCUAAAUGCGCUCGACAUUUGGAAAAUUUUAGAAUGGUCAAACAUUAAAGCAUUUGCAAUCGAUCCUAUACCCGAAGCGUAUGGGACACGACGCAUAAUGUUUUAUUUGCUAUGUUCUCAAAAUUCGAAUUGUGAAGAGGAAUGCCGUAAUCAUAAUCGAAAUUUUAAGAACACACUAUGUACCUUUGACUAAAUUUAUUAACAUUUCUCAACCUAAUCCUUUAGAUUUGAAAUGAAGCAUAAUAUUCUCUCCCUUAAUUAUAGCAAAACAACUUUACAACCCUUACGACUUUGCAAGGUAUAACUCUUGUUUUCUAUAAUUAAUAUUGCCAACUUGCAAUACGUGCCUUAAUAAUCAUACAAUCAUAACAUUUAUGCUCCCACUAUCAUGAUGAUUAUUAUAAAACAUAACACUUAUGCUCCCACUAGCUUCGACAUGUAUUCAUAAACAUCUUAACUUUCAGAAAAACAAUACUUAUUGAAUUUCUUAAGUUCAUGUUUCUAAUACUUAGUGCUUUGAUAAUCUUUUAUCAAGGCUUCUUGAACUUAUACACCUUUGCCUUCGAUAGUUCAUAUGUGUGUCUAAACAAUUAAGACUAAUUGCCAAACCUCACAAUUCAAAUUAUGGAAAGGGAUACCGUAACCAUAAUCGAAUUCGAGAAUGCAAUUUUACAAUCACUAUCUUCUUAAAAUCUUUCUUAGUGAAAGCAUUUCCUCACAAUCAUUUUCAUGAAGGAGGAAAUCUUAUGACACUUAGAUUUAAACGGUGUAUGUGUUCCUAUCCAUGUGAAUUUGUUAAAACCAAAGUUUACGACAAAUUCAAACUCAUAUGGACCGAACUUUCUUAAUCUUGAUUUCUUGCCUUAUGGUAGCACAGCUGCCCACCAUGUCUUCCAAGUAGUUAAGCAGCUCACCCUUUCCUAUCAAUGUACCUUUCAUUGAUUAAGGUGCUUUGCCUUUUAUGCGUUCAAAAUGAGAACUCAUAGAACUCACAUGCAUAAUUAACUCGAUUGGAUUGGCACAGAAACAAAAUAAUGUCAACACGAUAGGUUGUAAACCUCAACUCGUGUGCUAGUGAUGAUCGAUAAGGUUUAUUUGAUUUGUUCUUGAAACCUUUCAAGACCAUUAAGACUCCCACUGACUCCUUGACAUAUAAGAUUCUCUUGUCAAUAAACAUUUCUUGACAAACAAAUAUUCAAGAGUUAGUGUAGCUUUUAUCAAAACACUUCAUAAAUUGGUCCUAGUUGGUCUUUGUCUUAUCCAAGACAUCACAACUUUCCACAUUUGAUGAAUGUUAUAAACCUUCUUAAUACUUUUCACUCAAUGUCACAAUCUUAACUCUAAGACUUGUUUUGGAACGAAGUAUGAUUGACUUCUUGAUUUAACCAUUUCUUCAAUUCUUGAUUCCUCUUCUUAGACAUACAAUUGUACUAAGACUCACUUAGAGGAUCAAUUGAGAUAUGGUUCUUAAUCAUUAAGACCUAUCAUAAAGCAUAAAAGGUACUCUCCCUUCUUCUUAGAAUGGAGAAACUUUUAUCUUUCUGCCUACUUGAUUCUUCUUAUUCGUUCUGCUAUUGAUUUAAACUUUUUCAAUCAAUUCAGAAUUACACUUAAUCUUGUAAGUAUAAUCAUAUUUACUAAACCUUUAGUAAAUCAUGACGAAUAUCUUUGUUACUCUUAUGGUGGACUUGAUCAACACGCAACUUUGUGUACUCGAUCUCCUAGUCCUUCACUUGACACUUUGUCAAUGAAUUAGUCUAAUUUCCAAAUAUGAAAUUUCUCAUUCAUCGUGCAACCAAGUUGCAUGAUUCCAAGUUUCUGUCCAAUUGAAACUUGGGCGAUGAGAAACUCUCCCUAUUUGGUAAAUUCUCGACUUUCCAUAAAUAACAUAAUAAGAACCAAAUCCAUUAUUGCUAAUAAUAGAAACAUUCAAACAUCAAUUUUUCAUAUACGCCAUUGCAAGGAUAAAUAAAUAAUAUAAAAUCAAAAUUUAUUUUAUUGCGGAAAAAAUUUGUCCUUACAAUGCAAUUCAUUGAAAAACUAUGCUAAUACAUCUUUCUUAGCAAUCUAAUUCUAACUCUAAGUAGUAGCUCAAGAAUCUAAUCUUCGAGAAAUGCGAUCGAAAUCCAUUCCUUCACGGUUAGAUUCUGCUCACUUCUUCCCUUAAGCUUCCUUUCUUUUCUUCGAUCCUACAAAACAUCAAUUGUAAUCUUAUCACAUUAUGUAUUAAGAAUCUAGAAUAGAAGCUUAAAAGAGUUAGUUAAUGGAUUUUACCUAUAUUAGAGCCAUACGUUUCGACUCUCCCAUCUCUUAGAUCUCUUAGGUAAAUGGGGCAGCUUCGUCUCCAAUGCCCUUUCUCUUGGCAAUAAAAGCAAAUUGACUCUUUUGGAACAUGACAUGGAACUACUUCAGACAUUGCCUUUCUCUUAUGAUCAAACUUUUCGAUCAUAGCAUGUCUUUCGUUGCCAUUGUCUAUAUCCAUAGAGGUCUUGAAGGCAGAUUCACCAAUCAACUUUGCUUUUCUAUUGCGCCAAACCAUUGCUGAUUCAGCAGCAAUAAGCAUAUAGGUGAGAUCUAUAAGGGUCACGUCGCGGUUCAUCAUAUAGUACUCUCUUACGAACUCACUAUAUGAGUUAGGAAGUGACUGAAGAACCCAAUCAACAGCCAUUUCCUCACAGACAACGGAUCCCAACAUUCUUAACCUAUCAAUGUGUGACUUCAUCCCUAGGACGUGUGCACACACCGACUUUCCUUCUUUAUGUUUACUUGCCAAAAGGGCUUGAGUGAUCUUGAACUUUUCAAGCCUUUGAACUUGUGGGUUAGGGAGAAUAAUUGGAGGAGGAGGAGGAAGUGAAGCAUGAUUUCUUGUUCCUCGAUCGAAUCGUGGAAUAUCAUCUUCAUGUGGAAUGCUUGUUCCACGGGAUUUGGGAAGACCAUAGUUGUCGAACUUUGACAUCUACAAAACGGGAGAAAACGAAUUCAAGUUAGUUGAUUGAUUGAGUCCUUAGUAAAUCACCCAAAUGAGAUACUAAGGCUAGGACCCAACACAAUAUUCUACAACUCGGGAGAGGGAUGCCGUAACCCUAAUUGCAGAAUAUUUGAAGGUAAGUGAAUGACGAUUCACUAAUUUCCACCAUGAAAAACGAAAAAGAAAUUUAAGUUUUAAAUCUAUGAAAACUCCUAGAUCCUUUGAGAUUCAUUGAACUUUCAAUGGCAUGUUUAAAUCUCGAUAUGCCCCUCUUGUUUGUGACUGGGAUGCCGAGGAUCACAAAGCGGGUGUGAAUAACCAUGCAAACUUACAUGGUGCCCUCACAUGUUACAGUCACCUAUUCGAUGUGCCGGUAAACCACACACGCUCCACCGAACUAUGACAAACAUUGAGUCACCCUUUGCUACCUUUGCUUAGAACCAUUUAGUGUGCCGGUAAACCACACACGCUCCACUAACGUCUUCGCAAGGGCACAAAGUGUAAUUUCAUGGAAUUGCAUCAAUUCACUUUUGCCUAAGUAACUAAGAUUGGGAAUUUUAUUAAAACAUUUAGUUACUUUAAUAAUUCAUUAUACUUAUAAUGGAAGGUUUCGUCCUAUCCUACCCGUUCGGCUAACGACCCUCCACUAGUCAAGAGUGCGGUGGGUAAGAGUGGAUACCCAUUCAAUCGCCAUUUUAUAGGCAAUUUCCUUAAACACCCCUUAUAGACCAGCUUCGUGAAUGAGGCCUACUAACGGUAAGACUGACUUUUACUCAUACAUAUAUAUAAUGUUAGACUUUUAAUGUUAUAUAUAGUAUAGGGUGUAUUUUAUACUUUCAAAAUACUAGGUGGUCUAAUUUAACAAUUAUACUUUUAAUUCAAUUAAAUUGUAAACCUAAACUUUUAUGGAUUUAUUAAACCUCUUUUAAUUAUACACCUUAAUUAAUUAAUAAAACCAUAAGGGUGUGAUUUGAACUUUUUCAAAACUAUACUAGAGUUUUAGAAUUUAACAUUCCUAAUUAAACUUUUAAUCAACUUUUAAAUUCCAAAACUUGAGGGCAAGUUUUGAAACAUUUCAACACAUUAGGGUUUAGAAUUUAAAUAUACAUCAAAAUUAAACUAUUUAAUCAAAAUUUAAAUUCCAAAACUUGAGGGCAAGUUUUGAAACCUUUUUCAAAACAUUAGGGUUUUAACUAUUUAAAUUUCAAAACAACAAAACUUUUGGGUUCAAAUUUAAAAUAUAAAACCUAAAGGGAUUAAUUUGAAACUAUUCCAAACUUUGUCAAGAAUAUUCUAGAUCACAUAAUUCAAAUAAGGCAAUUAACUAUAAUUGGUGGUUAUCUAAUUAGAUCUAGUUCAAAUUCUUGCAAGAUAAUGAUCAAAUAAUUUCCAUAACUUAACAUAUAUCAAAUAAGGUAACAAUUAUCUAAUUAGAUGACCAAAAUCUUUUAUUUUGACAAGGAUAAUCAUAAGGGAUUAACAAAAUUCGAAUUUUAUUAAGUUUAAACAAUUAUGGCAAUUAUCCUAAGUCAUAAUAGGUAAAAAUCCCGAAAAUCCGUCUAUCUGACGAGUUGACUCGUCGAGUCAGCCUUGGACUCGUCGAGUCUGCAUGGACUCGGCGAGUUCAGCCAUGGACUCGGCGAGUCCAGCCUCCAGAAACCCAAAAAACGAAUUUUCCAGAUAUACAAUGCAUCAAUACAAUUGAAACCAAGCUAGGCUCUGAUACCACUGAUGGGUUUUGGUCAUAAGACAUCCUAUGUGCUCAUACAAACCCUAAUGCUUGGAUCUAGGUUUCUCUAUUGUACAUGCUUUGAAUCCAAGACUAUAAACCCUAAUUCUAGCAUACAAGUAAUCAUAUUAGAUAUUAGAAUAGGUUUAUAAUGUUACCUUGAUUGUUAUGUAGCAAUAACAAUCCCAAUUCCUCCUUGAAUUGACUUUGGAAGGCUUAGAGUCACAAGUGUCACUCCUCUAAUGGUUCACAAACACCAUAAGCAAGAGGAUGAAGAGGAGAGAGGAUGGAGGCUGCCCAAAACGUGUUCUAACCCUAGAAAAGAAGUUCCCCACGUUUUUGAGCCUUAAGGGUUCUAUAUAUAGUGAGGCUAUUAGGGUUAUCUAACAAGGAAACCCUAAUUUGGUUGCUUAAGCCCUAAGCAACCCAUGGAGCCCUUUCUUAAAGCCUUGGACGACUUCAUAUGGGCUUCCCCCAUAGAAUUCGUCCACCUUAUAAUAAAAGGCAAUCCAUGGCCCAAAUUGAAAUUAUCUUAUAAUUACAAUUCCAGUCCCUUAAGUUUAAUUAAUCUCUUUUAGUCACAAAACUAAUUACUAAUUAAUUCUUGACUAAUAUUAAUUAAACAAUAUGAUUUCUCCUUUAAUAUAUUAUUCCCAUAAUAUAUUAAUAAAUCAUAUUUAAUCCUUUCUCUCCAUAAUUCAUCCUAUCAAGUUGCUUUGGUGAAGGCAACCCAAAAGGACCAUGCACCAUUGGGUCAAGUACAUACCAAAAUAGUUAUGGACUUAGACACUAAUCUAACAAUUAGGAUGUCGUCAAUAAAGAAAAUGACGAACUGAUCUAAGUAAGGUCGGCAUACUCUAUUCAUCAAAUCCAUGAAGACUGCGGGCGCAUUGGUUAAUCCGAAUGGCAUCACCACGAAUUCGUAGUGUUCGUAACGAGUCUGGAAGGCUGUCUUCAGAACAUCCUCCUCUAGCACUCGUAACUGGUGAUAUCCGGAUCUCAGAUCAAUUUUGGAAAAAUAAUUUGCCCCUUGCAGUUGGUCAAAUAAAUCGUCGAUGCGAGGCAGAGGGUAACGAUUUUUGACCGUCAGUUUGUUGAGUUCCCUGUAGUCGAUACACAUACGGAAUGAUCCGUCUUUCUUCUUAACAAACAAGACCGGUGCUCCCUAAGGUGAGAAACUUGGUCUUAUAAAGCCUUUGCUGAGAAGUUCGUUAAGUUGACCAGAUAAUUCCUGCAUCUCAGCUGGUGCUAAUCGGUAUGGCGACUUAGCUACUGUGGUGGCUCUUGGAAUUAAGUCGAUUCUGAACUCGACCUGUCGUUGCGGAGGUAAUCCUGGUAGCUCUUCUGGAAAGAUGUCGGGAAAGUCGCUGACUACUGGAAUGUCUUUUAUUUCUUUCGUUUCUAGGCUCGUAUCGAGGACGUGAGCAAGGAAUGCACGGUAUUCUUUACAUAGAUAUUUCUGUGCUUGAAUACUGGAGACAAUACGAAGACUUGUACCAGGUUUGUCGCCGUAGACUAUAAUAGUUUCAUUAGACGGGAGGUUUAGACGGAUUGCUUUCUCGAAGCACAUGAUGUCGGCACAAUGAAGACUUAACCAAUCCAUGCCGAUGAUAACGUCAAAGCUUUUAAUUGAAACCGACAUGAGGUCGAUUGGAAAUGAAUGAUUAUCUAGAGUUAGGUUGCAUCCUAAGUAUAUGCUCCUGGUGCUUUUAGUUUUCCCAUUAGCCAUUUCUACCGUGAAUUGUUCUUUAGGUGCGUGUGGUUGAUGUUUAAGUAUGUGAGCAAAUUUAUGGUUCACGAAGCUUCGCUCCGCUCCACUAUUGAACAAAAUGCAUGCAUAGGAGUUAUCGAGAAGGAACGUACCAGUCACCAUCGUCGGGUCAGCAACCGCUUCCCCAUGGCUUAUUUCCAGUACCCUCCCCGAUCCACCUGCAUUCUUUGCUUUGGGGCAGUCCCUCUUGUAGUGGCCUGCUUCACCACAUCCAUAGCAGGUUGGGCUCGCGCCUGAGCCAGGGGCUUGAGUGAUCGGUCUUGCCGGAGACCUACAAAAAUGGACAGUGUGUCCUUUCUUGUCGCAGUUAGAACACUGCAUUUCACAGCAGGGGCCGUUGUGGUGGAAGUUGCAUUUGUUGCACUUAGGCAAACUUCCAGCAUAUUGCUUCACCGGAGCAGUAGCAGCAGUAGGGGUUAUCGCAGCAUGUACAACCACAAUUUGCUGCUUUUUGGCAGCUCGCUGCUUCUUCUUGUCAUCCCAGAACUUCUGCUUAGAGUCAGCGGGUUGGGAGGGUUCUGAGGCGGCUUGGGUUGUUGUCGCUAUUGGGGAUUUGAUUCCAUGGUCAAUGAGUCGUUGUGCCAGCCGCUUGGCACUGUCGAAAGUAGCGGGGUUUGAUGAUAGAACAUUUCCUUGAUACGGAGGCACCAGUCCCCAGAUGUACCUUUCGAUCUUUUUCCCUUCAGUGGGAACCAUAUUGGGGCAGAGAGUCACUAGUUCAAUUAACCUGGCGGUAUAAGCGACUAUGUUGGAGCCCUUCAUGGUUAGGCCCCACAGCUCUUGCUCCAAUUUCUGGAUUUCUCCCCUCAGGCAAUACUCCUCAAUCAUGAGGUCUUUCAUUGUUUCUCAGCCAAUGCCGUUGGCUACAACGAGUGUUUGGGAUUUAACGUGGCUGUUCCACCACGUCAGGGCUUUUCCUUCAAAGGUGCAGGCGACAUAUUUAACCUUGCUCGCCGCAGGGCAUAAACAAAUUUCGAAGACCGGUUCAGUCUUCUCUAACCAUUGCGAGAGGGCAAUGACUCCCUCGGUUCCAUAAAAGGACUUCAGCUUAUAGUUGGUGAAAUCCUUGUAGGAGAAAUCUCUCGUGCGCACAUGGAUCUCAGCAUGAGUAGAUUCAACAGGGGUUCCACCUUGGCUGUUGUUAGUUGAGUGAUAUUGAGCCAUGACAGUUGCCACUGCCGCAGCUACUGCAGCAUUGAUGACCGGAGGAGGAGGUGGUGGAGGUGCGGGGUUACGUCUUGUUGACUUACGUGGAGGCAUCUUUCAGCUAUAAGUUUAUAAAUACAAACACAAUGGUAAGAAUCAAUUGUAAGCAAGUUGAGAGUGACACAUGGACUAAAUAGCCAUAGUCCAACAGUUGAAUGAGUGUACGAAUUUAAGUCACAAUAGGGAAAACUAGUAGGAAAACGCAAGUGUAAAAAUUUUCUCACAGAUUAGUUAGCUGUCAAUAAUACUGGUAUUAUUGAUGUAAUGGGUUCAGGGGAAAAUUAACCUAAUAGUAGGUCUUACAUCAUACCAUACGGAAAAGUUUGACAAUUAUUAGAUUCCUAGUUAGCGUACUGAGAGUUAAUAUUUUACANACUGAGAGUUAGGAAUAUUUUACAGACAAGCGUUACUAAAAGCCCAGAUACUAAAGGCUAUUCCUUAAUCAAAAGACAAAGAUGUACUAGACAUCUUCUAAUGACGACGGGAAUUCCUAGGGCGAAUCCUCAUAUCUUCCAAUUGACAAACCACUUCUCGGAGGUGUCGUUCGUGAGCUCUUCGGCGAACUCGAAGUUCUACGACUUCGGUGGUCAAUUGAUGUCGCAGUGUGUCAUUGGUUCUCCUCAUCCCUUUGAGUGCUUCUUCCAGAUGUCGAAUGCGGACGGUAUUAACGCCUGAGUUAACAUCAAUUUCCAUGACUCGGUNGAUGGCUGCUCGGCCUUGUUCGACGUUUCGAGCAAUUCUACGGACCAUGACGGGCAGAGCUCUAUCCGCAGAACCACCUUCGCUAACGUUGUAAAAGCUUCGGUCCCCAAAGUAGGGUAAGGGUUGACCCUGUUCGUCACUCCAGCGAUUCAAGUUGUUUACCCACAAGGGAGUGGGACCUGGAAAUGCUGGUCGGGGACCGUUGUUUGGGGCUUGACCUACGGGAGGUAGAUUGUUGACUUCGGGCUCAGAGUCAGAUCCAUCCGAGAAACCUUUUGCUUGAUGAUCAUCCAAUGGGAUUUGGUGCUCAUCAUCGGACUCUGCGUCAAGCCAUCCUGCGUUGCCUUUGUUUGGAAAGUAUGGGUCGCCAUGAUGAAAUCCAGCCAUGAUAUCUACGCGAGAAAGGGGAUAUAAGAAUCUUAUAAAAUUUGAUGUACUACUAAGAUAAUUAUAAGAUGAUCUAUAUCAAUUAUGUCAAUACUUGUGUAGUGCAUACCAAUUAUAUGAAAAUAGGGUAGGAUAGGCCUUCGAAUAAGUAGCCCUAACUCCAAAACCACAACCAAACAAGGAACAGGAGAUGCAGCAAAGGUUACAGAUUCUUAGACUAUAACACCUAAUUUCAUACAACCUUAAAGUAUCCACUUAACGACUAUUGACCUAUUUGAUAAUGACCCUUUUAGUUCUCAGAUAAUUGAUUAAAGUAACACAAAAUACUCCUAUAGUAUUUUAAACCUAUGCUCUAUUCUAAUGAUCGUAUUGUAGUAGUGUUGGUAAGUUUUUUUAAACUUGUUACCAUAUCACAACUAUUCUAGGGCAUAUGCUAAUCACUCCUUGGACCAGCAUAGUUGAUCAGGCUAUGCCAUUCCCAGGACUGACCAUACAUCCCCAAGAUCACUUGUGAUAUUUAACAAUCGCAAUACUUUUGUUCUUGUCGUUGUGACACCAAUUUUAGUAUGAAUGCAAACUUGUAUACUUUAUUAAAUAUUUUAGUAUUUAAAGUAUAGACUCUUGGUCAGAGUGCUUUAAUCCCUAAUGGGUUUAUAGUUUAGUAUAUCUUUUAUGGGUUGAUAUACUUGAUUCACUAUAAACAAUGCUCUGAUACCAAUCUGUCACACCCCAAAACCAAGAACGGCGGAAACGUUCUGGGGCGGAGGACGUCAUGUAAAGUAUCACAACACAGUAAAUGUAAAUAAGCAAACAACAUCAUCCAUUGCAUUAAAUAUAUAAUUUUAAUACAAGUGUGUUCUGUACAGUUAUAGACACCAAAAAUAAUGUAAAUCAAAAUAAUAAGAUGAGUCUUGGAUGCGCUCCAUCUUCUCAAAAGCUGGCCUCGGUACCUGUCUACUGAUGACCUGAGAAUACAAGUUAUUUUGAAAGAGUUUAUCAGCAUUAAGCUGGUGAGUUCAUAAGUAUUUUAGUGUCGGUGUUUGUUAUCAAAACGUUUGAACAUGUCUCAAGUGUAAGUUUGUAAAAUGUAUGUAAAUGUUUGUAAGUGUUUGUAAAAGUUUGAAUCUCUCAGAAAAACCUAUAUUUUCUAUUAAAGUAGCCUUCUACCAAGGCUUAACUGUUUUGUAUGUUCGUUUGUUGUAAAAGUGUGUAAUUUCCCAAGUGUAACUAUCAUUAACAAAAUAUAGUUUGUACAUUAAUGUUUAAGUGAAAUAAUCACUAAAUAUAUGUAAUGGGUAAAUUAUUGUAGUACUGUAGUGUUGUAUUAUAGGAACUACUGCUGUACUAACUACCUUAAACCGGAUUUAUAUUAAGGUAUCAUGUGAUUAAUUGUACCAUACUAUCGACUGAGUAACAACGACAAAUGUAGGUCGUAAAAAGGAAUGACGUUUGGCACCCGCAGACCUGCAGGUCCGGCUGUAGCUAGCAGCAAGGUGUAGGAUAGUCAAUCCAGUAUAGAUCUAUACGCAAACUCACGCUCUCCCUCCAAGAGACUCUGGUUACAACUCGGGCCAUGACAUUUAAGGCAUGCUUCGAUACAGUGGAUCACAUUUAUGUAAGUGUAUGUAUGUAUAUGUAAUGUAUUGUUCCUGUUCUAGUAUCGUUGUAUAUGUUCUCUUUCUAGUAUAGUUGUAUAUGUUCUCUUUCUAGUAUAGUUGUAUAUGUUCUCAUAGUAAUGUAAUGUAUAUGUUCUCAUAGUAAUAAGUAUUGACUCAUGAAUGAACUGACUCAUUGAUCUAGUAAUAGUAUAAGUGUAAUCCUGUGUUACCCCGAUGGUAACUUACUAAUGAUGUAACUGAUACGCAUGAAUAUGGAAGUACUUUUAUGUCUAUAUAUGCACAUAUGAUAUAUAAUUAAUAUUGAAACGACCCUCGGAUGACUACCCGACAUCCCACCAGACCACAUCUAAAUCGAGAAAAAGGAAAUAGGGCGGACGGCCUUCCUAAGCCUUUUAAACAUUUCUUAUAUAUAUGUACAUAUAUGGACAUGCAAAUUAUAAGAAGUAUAUUAAAGUUUAAAUAAAAGUAUUUGAUAAGUAAAAGAGUUUGUAAAACAUUUUGAAGUAAAACGGUUUGAUAAACAGUUUGGACAGUGAUAAAAUCAUUGGUUUUAUAGUUAUUAAUCACAUGUGAUUGAUGUAAUAACUAUACCUAUUCAACUUGUAUUCCCCCCCAUAAAAGCAUUUAAAACAUUUUAAAGUAUUUCAAAGGUUAAUUAAAGGGGUAUGAACUCACCUGUAGUGAGUGGUUCUGAUGACAAUGUUGGAUUAGUUGCUAGGCGUCAAGUGGUGACUUGAGUACACACGCGAAUCCUAUUUAGCAUAUAUUGGCACAUAUAUGGAUAUAAUUAGUGUUAUGAACAACUAAUUGAUGAUUUUGGGACCACCUUAGGGACUAGUAAACACUUAUAAUGAAGUGUUAUAAUCAUAUAUGAUUGUAUGAGGGUUUAUAAGGCUAUACAAGAGGGUGUAUGGCCAAAAUACACACUAUAUGUGUGUGUGCGGCCAUGAGGAUUUCGUGUUCUAUGCUUGAAGAAGUGAAGGAAGUGUUCAAAAAUGAUUUAAGUGUGGUAUACAUAGGUGGAGUGCUGUUGGGAAGGGUGUGAGGCCGCAAACAUGAGUGUGUGGCGGGACACUCCAUGUGUUGGAGUGUUUGGCCCGGUUUUG